CGCUGGCGGCGUGCCUAACACAUGCAAGUCGAACGGAGUUAAGGAAGCUUGCUUUUUUAACUUAGUGGCGGACGGGUGAGUAACGCGUGAGUAACCUGCCUUUCAGAGGGGAAUAACGUUCUGAAAAGAACGCUAAUACCGCAUAACGUUACGGAAUCGCAUGGUUCUGUAACCAAAGAUUUAUUGCGCAAGGAUGGGCUCGCGUUGGAUUAGAUAGUUGGUGAGGUAACGGCCCACCAUGGCGACGAUCAGUAGCCGGUCUGAGAGGAUGAACGGCCACAUUGGGACUGAGACACGGCCCAGACUCCUACGGGAGGCAGCAGUGGGGAAUAUUGCGCAAUGGGGGAAACCCUGACGCAGCAACGCCGCGUGAAGGAUGAAGGCCUUCGGGUUGUAAACUUUUUGAUCGGGGACGAAUAAUGACGGUACCCGAAAAACAAGUCACGGCUAACUACGUG
RNAcentral lists this ribosomal RNA (458 nucleotides) under uncultured bacterium. Its description in RNAcentral is "bacterial SSU rRNA". It matches the Rfam family "Bacterial small subunit ribosomal RNA", at positions 34 to 507 of the family's 1533-position model. The record is from RNAcentral.